ACUAAAUGCCACGAUCCUUCUCAGCUACCUUGGCAGCAUUCUGUCAGAAACCAGUCAACAAACAGAGCAGGGAAAAACAGCACCCCGAAGACAGCAUUCAGGACCCAGCCCUUUAGACAAAAGGGAUCAGAUCAGGUCUACUAGAUGGCCUCAUUCAGUCAGACACACCCAGUUAAGCAGCCCUGGAAAGGGACUCUAGAGAAUGCUAGAAGUACUGUGAAGCUCGCAGAUGGCCUUGUGGACUUUAGCACUUCAGGUGAGAAGACAACAGUCUCCCAGCAAAAUGUUGCAAGCAGCACAGGCUCAGGAAUGGACAGACUGGCAGGCAAGACACAGCAAGAAGGCAGCAGUCUGCACACCAGGAGGAGAGUCCUCACCACAACUCAGCCCUGCCACACCCUGAUCCUGGACUUUCAGCCUCCAGAGCUGUGAGAAAUAAAUGCCUGCUGUUUCAGCAGCUCAGUCUAUGGUAUUUUGUUGUGGCAGCCUGGGCUAAGAGUGAAAAGGGACAGUUCCAGGCAGAGGGAACAAUCCCUACAAAGGCUGAAAAUGAAGACAGAGAUAGUAAGCCACAGCGGGAUAAAAGAUGAGGGACACACUGGGAUGAGAAAGUGGGGCUCUUAGAGACCCGGCCUGAGUGUUGGACUCAGCCCCUCCUGAGGGCACCAGAGGCCACAGAGGUGCCUGAGAGAAGAGCUCAACCAGAUCUGCACAUGAGGAAGACGGCUCAGGCUGCAGUGUGGAAACUGGGUGAGAACAGGAGGGAGGCCGAGGCAGAGCCUUCAGUCCAGCCAGGUGGGAGGUGAGACCCCUGGAUGAGGAGUGCGGCCAUCAGAGGGAUGUCAGGGACACAUACAAAAGCUGCUUAGGAAGUAGAAGAGACUGACUUUGGUGAAAGUUGGGGAGGAAGAGGCCAGCGUCAUGCUCAGAUGUCUGGCUUUUGCACUUGGAUGGAAGAGGGGUUUCUAAUCUCUCCCGAGUGGGGCUGCCCUCCAGGCUGGGUCUCCCAUGUGGCAGGGAUUCUGUCAUACAUGAUUGGAUACAGUCCCCAUGACAAUGGCGUGUGCUGCAGUUACUCAUCUGAGACCACACAGGCGGCGAGUGAGUGAGGCAGCUGUUGUUUCAACCCACAUGUGACCUGCCCACGUCCACUCUGCAACACCCACAGGGCUAGACAUCUCAUCAGUUGCAGAAUCUUCUUGCCAGCCAUUGUCGCACCUGCUGUUCCCAAGCU
RNAcentral lists this long non-coding RNA (1234 nucleotides) under Homo sapiens (human). RNAcentral's name for it is "HSALNT0345835". The record is from RNAcentral. Lineage: Eukaryota; Metazoa; Chordata; Mammalia; Primates; Hominidae.